Molecule: long non-coding RNA, 425 nt
Filed under: Brachypodium distachyon (stiff brome)
Lineage: Eukaryota; Viridiplantae; Streptophyta; Magnoliopsida; Poales; Poaceae
Description: long non-coding RNA (BDIS_LNC003466)
Source: RNAcentral
GCAACACAGAGCAAGAUUUAAACUUGUAUGCUAUUAUUAUUCACAAAAUAAUUUCUCUUUUUGUCCUAAUGGACAGAGAACAUGCUCAAAUAAUUUUACAGCAAGCUAACAUGCUCAAAACCAUUUUGAAACAAUUCAUUUGAAAUUUAAACCAUAUUCAUGCAUUCUGUAAAUUGCUUCUGACUAAGAUGUUCAAAACUGAAAAUAGACAGUGCCAAAAUAUUCUACAAGUUGUGACGAUUCCAGAAAGGUGCGGAUCAUAAAUUUUGGACAAACGGUUUAAAAGUUAUGAUGCUUUGAAGUUAUAGGGGCUUUUCUGCAAAAGUGCAAUAUUGAUUCGGCCGAAAAUAAAAACAAAAAGAAAAAGCUUCGCCACGUGGCAUGACGGGGUUGUCCGGGAGCUAGGGUUUUCCCCUGGGCGGCGC